AAGUCGUAACAAGGUUUCCGUAGGUGAACCUGCGGAAGGAUCAUUCAAAAUAAAAGUGAAUUUUAUGGCACUUUUAAAACAAUCCAUAUCCACCUUGUGUGCAAUGUAAAAAAAAAAAAUGAAAGAGGAUUUGGGGGGGUCCAUUUCUCCCGAUCCUUUUUUCUAAAUAUAUCAACUCUUUGCUUUGAAACCUGUUUGUCUGAUAUAAAAAUAUUCUUGAAUAAUAACUUAAUUCAAAAAUACAACUUUCAACAACGGAUCUCUUGGCUCUC
This 272-nucleotide unclassified non-coding RNA is filed under the name Mortierella sp. RNAcentral's name for it is "partial internal transcribed spacer region". The stretch from base 1 to 46 matches the Rfam family "Eukaryotic small subunit ribosomal RNA", at positions 1786 to 1831 of the family's 1831-position model. The record is from RNAcentral. Lineage: Eukaryota; Fungi; Mortierellomycota; Mortierellomycetes; Mortierellales; Mortierellaceae.